UAUUAUAUAAAAUAAAAUAUAUAGGUGACGCUUGGUUUCAUUUGCAAACUAUUCACGUAUGAAAAAGCGCAUGUAAAUCCGAACCACUGCAGAUAUUGAUUUUUUUUGGGUCACUCCCCGCGCGUUGUCGACAACGAGAAUAAGGAAAUGCGCUGCACUAUAGCUGUGUACGCUAGUAUUUUCGUUAUGGAAUGAAGAGAAAUAUCGAGUUGUAUGUAUACGAGUGUACUAUUUAUUGCACUUUAAAACUUCCUCAUAUUUCGUCCGCGAGCAGCGUUCGUGACACGACGCGAUCGCAUUUUGCCAUGCUAUUUCAAUAACUUUCCAGUGUGCAAAUACAGCACGUGUACCGAUCUCUUCGUGGCGGACAGCGAAUUGGGUCGGUCAUGGAAGACUCGGUCGAAGUUCGCGAAUUCUCCCCACGCCUCUGGCUUUUUAAUGAAUAUACAUCGCACGCUCAAAUCCGUUUGUCCCAUUUUUUCACUCGUCAUCUUGUGCUAUCAGCCGGUAUAUGUAGAUUACCGGACGGCGUAUGGCGCGCCGAUCACGUAUGCAUGCAUUUGCAACAAGUAUUCCGAAUACCUCCACUUUGUAAACUGCAUAUGCAUUUAUGCAAACCGCACAGGAUCAACGUAACGGUCGUUUAUAUGGCGUAGCUUUUAUAUCGUCCGGGGAAACAACCCCGAUUACUCUCUUCUGCGCAAUAUUCCAAAAGUUCGUAAAUUUUAUUUUAGGCCGGACGCGGAUACAUACCGCAACUGCUAUCGUAGAAUUUUUUCAUUUAGAUCACUAGUAUCUCCCCUCCCUCUAAAUUUCUUACAAGGAUAAAAUUCAAUAUUUUGUUACAUCCUGAAAAUAAUAUUAGACCUUUUAUUGCGUCAUCCGUGUUGCAAUCUUAAAUACAAGAACAGCUUCUAAACUUCUUUUCAAAAUUGUCUGAUAGGAUUUACUAUAUUUAUCCCGUCCUUCACAACUAAAUUCUCAUUCUCUUUUUUAGAAAUUCUAAAUUUUCAUUUUUGCAAAAUCAAAUCAAUUUUUACUUUUGAUAUCAAGAUAGUGAUGAUCGUGGCGCACGAAUUGCAUGAUUGCCAAAGACUGAUCUGUGAAUGAUGAAAUCCAGUUAGAACAUGCAAUUUUAUUCGAUCGCUACUUCUCGGAAGGCAAUGGCAAACCAUCAAAAAUAUCUUUGCCAUAAAAACCUCCCUUAUAAAUUUUUAAUGAACUAUGCGUUACUAAGGCUCCUUAUAUCUAUUAGAGGCACACUACAGAUAUAUGUAUAGCUUAUUAUCCAUCAGAAGGAGCAGACAGCGGUCUUAUAAUAUUCAUGUAAAGAACUAAAAUACUAUAUACAAAACCUUCAAGGAACUGAGAUUCUCUUGAGAAGUCCUACUGCUCCAUAUAGAAGUUGAAAAAAUUAAUGAAAUAAUGAUGUUAGGAUAUGUUAUUUGUCCAGAAGCCAAACCUGCUAAGAGAAUGUAUUGCAAACUGUGUGUUGCAUAUCAUGUCAAUAGAACUUGACAGCAGUUGGACACUGCAGUCUGCUAUUUUUCUAUUAUUGGAAGAAAUGUAUCAGAAAACGAGCAGACUCUGCGACAUCAUCAUGCUCCAUUCCUGUUGCUAUAUAUUAUACUAGCAAUAUUAUUACGGUAGAAACUAAACAUAAAGAAGGCACAGUGGAUAGAAAUCUGCUCUAUAUAAUCAUGAUCAAAUUUCCUGUUGGCAUACUGCUAUAGCAUUUUGCUAUCUAGGUGGUUAUUUUAACAAAGAAUCGCCUUGCUUAUUACGCGAAGAAAUCAAAAUUAGUAGUUCAUAUUAGUAGCUCAUAUCGAACAAAUUUUCGAUUUAAUGCAUUACUAUACUGUAAUCUCGCUUGCCUAUACCAUCACCUGAAUGAAGCCUGAUCAAAAAGUAGCAGUUCUACUCUUCCCAAUGCUUUAAAAUAUUAUACAACGUGCCUUACACGUAACGACGUGCGCGCGCACACACACAUUCAUCUCUUUUUCUCUGAAAAAUUAAGCAUCUCGAUGGGAAAAUCUGUCAAGAUGCUCGUUGAAUAAUAAUACACGCGAACGAUAUCACAGCAAGGUCAACAAUGCGUUAAAUGCAUCCUCGAACGCCGUCACAAAUUGUUAUCGAUUAGACAAUAAAGAGCAUACUAGCAUAGAUCGUUUACGACACGUCAAAUUGUCAACAACACUCGCUCCGGCCAGUCGAUUUUUUAUACGAUCGAUUCUCGAUACUUGAAUUAAUUCGUGUACUACCAGUAUUACAUGUAUAUACAUGUGUCGCGCGAAGACUCGUACUCAUUUAAUACUUCUCGGUUAGUAAAGUUCUGCCUAUAAAUCAAUUACGAAACAGUGACAUCGGGAUUUAAACGUGACAAAAAUAUUUUUCAAAUAAAAUGCCUAGCUUUAGCCGUCGCUGAUUUAUCACUUUCGGUAAGAUAUCCUCCCGCCAGGAAUUUUUUCGGAAUUGCUCAUGCUCCGAGAUGAGUAUGACGUCAGACGGGAGAAAUGCAUGGAUCGUGAAAGGACGCCGUCGGAGAUGGUACGAACAAGCGAAUAUUAAUAUGUCCGUUUAAUGUGAUACAUGAGGCAUGAUGAUACUAUCGGCUUGCCUUAGACCAUGUGCUGGCCUAGGUACCGAUUCGUAGAUCGGCUCCAGAUUCGAUUUCUAGGAUUGGAGCUUAGGGACCGAUCGGGAUCCUGCGUUCCUACGCAGCGCUGCAGAUCCUCUCCUCGACUCUCUCUCGAUCGACUUUUCAGCCGCGCGAAACAUGUACCGAUACGCUAUGCUACAUCCCUAUUAACUAAUUAUCGACAUUUAUACAUAGUAUAACCAAGUUUCUCAUAUUCGCACACUCGCACGUACACACACACGCAUGUACUCCGACCUGCGACACACUGAUAAGGCUAUACGCAAGGAUCCUUCAAAUCGACAAUUGUUCUCUAGCUCAUCUGGUGCAUCGGUCAUGCUCGUCCAGUAUAGGAUAAGAACAUAGCGAUUACGUAUAAAAUCAACCAAAAAUUGUUAUUGGUAUUAUAUGUAUAGUGGCACGUAACAUUUUAAUAUAAAACUCCUUUCCAAGUUGCAUAGUGA
Molecule: long non-coding RNA, 3099 nt
Organism: Wasmannia auropunctata (little fire ant)
Lineage: Eukaryota; Metazoa; Arthropoda; Insecta; Hymenoptera; Formicidae
Exons: 2
Source: RefSeq, a predicted model, not a curated record